GUCCUGGCUCAGGAUGAACGCUAGCUACAGGCCUAACACAUGCAAGUCGAGGGGCAGCAUGGUCUUAGCUUGCUAAGGCCGAUGGCGACCGGCGCACGGGUGAGUAACACGUAUCCAACCUGUCGUCUACUCUUGGACAGCCUUCUGAAAGGAAGAUUAAUACAAGAUGGCAUCAUGAGUCCGCAUGUUCACAUGAUUAAAGGUAUUCCGGUAGACGAUGGGG
This 223-nucleotide ribosomal RNA is filed under the name uncultured bacterium. RNAcentral describes it as "partial 16S ribosomal RNA". It matches the Rfam family "Bacterial small subunit ribosomal RNA", at positions 16 to 230 of the family's 1533-position model. The record is from RNAcentral.